UACGUAGGUGGCAAGCGUUGUCCGGAAUUAUUGGGCGUAAAGCGCGCGCAGGCGGUCCUUUAAGUCUGAUGUGAAAGCCCACGGCUCAACCGUGGAGGGUCAUUGGAAACUGGGGGACUUGAGUACAGAAGAGAAGACUGGAAUUCCACGUGUAGCGGUGAAAUGCGUAGAGAUGUGGAGGAACACCAGUGGCGAAGGCGACUCUUUGGUCUGUAACUGACGCUGAGGCGCGAAAGCGUGGGGAGCAAACAGG
RNAcentral lists this ribosomal RNA (253 nucleotides) under uncultured bacterium. RNAcentral describes it as "partial 16S ribosomal RNA". It matches the Rfam family "Bacterial small subunit ribosomal RNA", at positions 524 to 776 of the family's 1533-position model. The record is from RNAcentral.